ACCAAGCUGGCUCAGUUAGUAGAGCAUGGCACUCUUAUUCUCAGGAUUAUGGGUUUGAGCCCCAUGCUGGGUG
Molecule: non-coding RNA, 73 nt
Organism: Pangasianodon gigas (Mekong giant catfish)
Lineage: Eukaryota; Metazoa; Chordata; Actinopteri; Siluriformes; Pangasiidae
Source: the annotation of a GenBank genome assembly